AAAGAAACCAACCGGGAUUGCCUCAGUAACGGCGAGUGAAGCGGCAAGAGCUCAAAUUUGAAAUCUGGCCCCUCCGGGGUCCGAGUUGUAAUUUGCAGAGGAUGCUUCGGGUGCGGCCCCUGUCUAAGUGCCCUGGAACGGGCCGUCAGAGAGGGUGAGAAUCCCGUCUUGGGCAGAGUGCCCGUGCCCGUGUGAAGCUCCUUCGACGAGUCGAGUUGUUUGGGAAUGCAGCUCAAAAUGGGUGGUAAAUUUCAUCUAAAGCUAAAUACCGGCCGGAGACCGAUAGCGCACAAGUAGAGUGAUCGAAAGAUGAAAAGCACUUUGAAAAGAGAGUUAAACAGCACGUGAAAUUGUUGAAAGGGAAGCGCUUGCAACCAGACUCGGCCUCGGGGUUCAGCCAGCAUUCGUGCUGGUGUACUUCCCCGGGGCCGGGCCAGCGUCGGUUUGGGCGGCCGGUCAAAGGCCCCAGGAAUGUAUCGUCCUCCGGGACGUCUUAUAGCCUGGGGUGCAAUGCGGCCAGCCUGGACCGAGGAACGCGCUUCGGCACGGACGCUGGCGUAAUGGUCGCAAACGAC
Molecule: ribosomal RNA, 575 nt
Filed under: Aspergillus sydowii
Lineage: Eukaryota; Fungi; Ascomycota; Eurotiomycetes; Eurotiales; Aspergillaceae
Description: eukaryotic LSU rRNA
Rfam family: Eukaryotic large subunit ribosomal RNA
Source: RNAcentral